CUCGCUUUCGCCUCCCGUCGUCGUCGCCUCUUCCUUUCCUCUUUCUUCUUCUUCUUCCCCUCACCGCUUCCGUUCGCAUUUCCCUCCAUAAAACCCAACCGCGCAACUGCCCACUCGCCCCCCACCCAACGGCCGCGCAGACCAAACCCUCCUCCUUCCCGCCGGCGACGCCCUCGCUGCCUCGAUGGCGUCCUCCUCCACCGCCUCCUCCUCCGCCCAAUUGGGGCUCGGCCUCGGGCUAGGGUUAGGCGCGAUGGGUGGCCUGGGGCUCCUCCUCCCCGCCGACCGCGAACACGACCCGGAGCUGGAGCCGUGCUCUCCCCCCAAGGGCGUCCUACGGCUGCGCGGCGCCGUGCAGCACUACGAGUGGGGCAGCCGCGGGGACGCCUCCCUCGUCGCGCGCCUCGCCGGCGAGACAGAGGAGGGCCGCCCCUGCGCCGAGCUCUGGAUGGGCACCCACCCGGCUGCCCCGUCGUCGCUAGCAUCCGACGACGGCGGCGCGGUCUCGCUCAGGGAGUGGCUGGCGCGCAACCCCGCUGCGCUCCUCGGCCGCGUCGUCACCGCGCGCUGGGACGGCGACCUCCCCUUCCUAUUCAAGGUGCUGUCGGUGGCGAAGCCGCUCUCCAUCCAGGCGCAUCCGGACAGGGAGCUCGCCAGGGCGCUCCACGCGCUGCGCCCUACCACGUACCGCGACGCCAACCACAAGCCUGAAAUGGCCGUUGCCGUCACCGAGUUCCGCGCCCUCUGCGGCUUCGUCAGCGUCCAGGAGCUCAAGGAUGUUUUGAGGACUGUACCUGAGGUUCGAAUGUUAGUUGGCAAAGAAGAUGUUGUGAAGCUUAUGACUGCCAAAGAGCACGAUGGAGGUAUUGGAGUAAGGUCAUAUCUGCAAUCAGCUUUUACUAAGCUAAUGGCAACAAGCAAAGAAGCAGUUGCUGAAGCAAUUUCCAAAUUAAGGAGUCGCUUGAAUGGGGAGAUAAAGAUUAGAACCUUUACAGAGAAGGAGCAACUAGUUUUAUCACUAGAGCAGCAGUACCCAGGAGAUGUUGGCGUUUUAUCAGCAUUUUUCUUUAACUAUGUUAAGCUCAGACCUGGUGAAGCACUUUACAUUGGUGCCAACGAACCACAUGCAUAUCUAUCAGGAGAGUGUGUUGAAUGUAUGGCUACCUCAGACAAUGUAAUUCGUGCUGGUCUGACUCCUAAGUACAAAGAUGUCCAAACUCUUUGCUCCAUGCUGACAUACAAGCAGAUGUUCCCCGAAAUUUUGCAAGGUGUUCUGGUUCAGCCAUAUGUAAUUCGUUAUACACCCCCAUUCGAUGAGUUUGAAGUUGAUCGCUACUUACUACCUCAAGGUGAAUCGGUUACCAUGUUACCAGUGCCUGGCCCAUCCAUCUUCCUCGUCAUGACUGGGGAGGGCGAGAUCCAGGCUGAUGGCAUGCCUGACGAAGGAGUAGCAAAAGAAGGGGAUGUUUUCUUUGUGCCGGCACGCACGGAGGUGAAGCUUCACGCUUCUGGCCCUGGGUGCUUGCAGCUGUACAGAGCCGGAGUAAACAGCAGAUUCUUCUGUUGACAUGGAUAACCCUGCAGAUGGGUAAUUUCAAGGGCCAUGGUUGUUCCAAGAGGGAUCAUCCGGUGUUCGCACUACGUUACCAGGUUAGUUAGCCAAAGUUUAUCAUAGUGUAUAGGCAAGUCGUGAGUUGAGUCCAUUCGUUCAUAUCUUAAUCAUGUUUACGUAUUCAUAGGCAUCUAAUUUUCAGUAAGCUGGGAUGAGAAAAUGCAGUCUGUAGUUGAGCUUCAACUAUAUGUGUACAUGGAAAUUGGGAAGGAAAAUGAAUGCCUCGUUAUCUCGUGCUUAAUAGUGUUUGAAAACGUUUCG
RNAcentral lists this ribosomal RNA (1873 nucleotides) under Triticum aestivum (bread wheat). RNAcentral's name for it is "partial small subunit ribosomal RNA". The record is from RNAcentral. Lineage: Eukaryota; Viridiplantae; Streptophyta; Magnoliopsida; Poales; Poaceae.